Molecule: ribosomal RNA, 443 nt
Filed under: uncultured bacterium
Lineage: Bacteria
Description: partial 16S ribosomal RNA
Rfam family: Bacterial small subunit ribosomal RNA
Source: RNAcentral
CCUACGGGUGGCAGCAGUGGGGAAUAUUGGACAAUGGGGGGAACCCUGAUCCAGCGACGCCGCGUGAGUGAAGAAGUAUUUCGGUAUGUAAAGCUCUAUCAGCAGGGAAGAAAGACAUGACGGUCCCUUACUACGAAGCCCCUGCUAACUACGUGCCAGCAGCCGCGGUACUACGUAGGGGGCAAGCGUUAUCCGGAUUUAAUGGGUGUAAAGGGAGCGUAGACGGGGAUGCAAGUCUGAAGUGAAAGGCGGGGGCCCAACGCCUGGACUGCUUUGGAAACUGUAGGGCUGGAGUGCAGGAGAGGUAAGUGGAAUUCCUAGUGUAGCGGUGAAAUGCGUAGAUAUUAGGAGGAACACCAGUGGCGAAGGCGGCUUACUGGACUGUAACUGACGUUGAGGCUCGAAAGCGUGGGGAGCAAACAGGAUUAGAUACCCUUGUAGUC